RNAcentral lists this ribosomal RNA (382 nucleotides) under uncultured eukaryote. RNAcentral describes it as "partial 18S ribosomal RNA". It matches the Rfam family "Eukaryotic small subunit ribosomal RNA", at positions 592 to 976 of the family's 1831-position model. The record is from RNAcentral.
UGUAAGCGUAUACCAAAGUUGUUGCAGUUAAAACGCUCGUAGCCGGAAUUUGGCAGUUCCGGAUGUGUGCACGUCGUGUGCGCACUUCGCGGGGAUUGCUUUUGUGGUCUUGCGUAGGAUGAGGCACUUUUAUUAGUGAACGUCCUCACGCAACCACUUUUUACUGUGAGAAAAUCAGAGUGCUCAAAGCAGGCAUUUGCCGUGAAUGUAUUAGCAUGGAAUAAUAGAAUAGGACUUGGUUCUAUUUUGUUGGUUUGUUGGGACUGAGUAAUGAUUAAGAGGGACAGUUGGGGGCAUUUGUAUUUCGGUGCUAGAGGUGAAAUUCUUAGAUUACCGAAAGACAAACUGCUGCGAAAGCGUCUGCCAAGGAUGUUUUCAUUGA